UUCACGAUCUCUAUCAACAAAAUUUUAAAGACGCCGGCGAGGACACAUGGCGGCCGGAGACGGCGACGAGUGGUCCCUAGCGUCAGACGCUACGCCGUCGUACCGGUACCAGUGGGACGUGUUCCUCAGCUUCAGAGGCGAGGACACGCGCCACGGCUUCACCGACCGCCUCUACAACGACCUAGUUCGGAACGGCGUCCGGACCUUCCGCGACGACGAGGAGCUGCCGCGCGGCGAGGAGAUCGCGCCGGGCCUAAUCGCCGCCAUCCAAGACUCGGCGGCUUCGAUCGCCGUCAUAUCGGAGAACUACGCCUCUUCGAAAUGGUGCCUGGAAGAGCUCGCGACGAUUUUGGAAUGCAAGCGCCUCAUGCUUCCGGUGUUCUACGAAGUCGAUCCCUCCGAUGUACGGAGACAGGGCGGCGCGUUUGAGCGGGAUUUCCGGAACCACCAGAUGACGGUGGACGCCGGUAAGAUUCUCCGGUGGAGGGAAGCCAUGACCAAAGCCGGUAAUAAAUCCGGUUGGGAUUCCAGAGUCUGGGAUGAGCCUACACUAAUCCAGUCUCUGGUGAAGAAGGUUUUGAGUAAGCUAAACAAUACACCUUUAGGCGUAGCAAAAUAUCAAGUUGGACUGAAUUCUCGUGUGGAUGAGCUGCUGAGGAAGUUGGAUGUUAAAGGCAAUGGAGUUCGAGUGCUAGGGUUAUAUGGAAUGGGAGGGAUCGGGAAGACCACUCUCGCCAAAGCUUUGUUUAAUAAGCUCGUCUUCCAUUUCAAGAAGCGCAGCUUUGUUUCAAAUGUUAGAGAAAUUUCUCGCGAGUCUGAUGGUUUGAUAACUCUCCAAAGCAAAUUGAUCGGAGAUCUUAAAAGCAAAUUCGUCGGAGAUCUUAAUUCGGACGUUUUGUCGACCAUACCUGACAUUGCGGUAGGUAUUCGUAAGAUCAAGCAGUCUAUUGAGAGUGCGCCAGUUGUUGUGUUCUUAGAUGAUGUGGAUAACAUAAAGCAACUUCAAGUGCUUGCUGUUAGGAAAGACUGGUUUUAUGAAGGGAGCAGAAUCAUCAUCACCACUAGAGAUAUGCAGGUUUUGAUUGGAAAUGUUGAUGAAACUGUUGAGGUUAAGGAGCUUUCAUUCCCGGAAUCACUACAACUCUUUAGUUACCAUGCUUUUGGAAGAGAGGAGCCUAGUAAAAAUUUUAAGGAUAUUUCUGAGAAAAUUGUUUCACUCACCAAUGGUCUUCCUCUUGGUUUGGAAGUCUUUGGCUCUUUUCUGUUCUAUAAGAAAAGGUUAAGGGAUUGGGAGGAUGCAUUGCAAAAGCUAGAGCAAAUUCGCCCCGGGGAGGUUCAAGAUGUGCUGGAAAUAAGUUUCAAUGCUCUGGAUGAACAGGAAAAGCGCAUAUUUCUUGACUUGUCUUGUCUCUUUGUUGACAAGAACUUUAAGAGGGAAGAUGCAAUUGACAUAUUUAAUGGUUGCGGCUUCAGUGCUGAAACAGCAAUAACAGAUCUCACGGCUAAAUCUCUUGUUAAGAUCAUUAAUGGAAAUGCUUUAUGGAUGCAUGAUCAACUCAGAGAUAUGGGGAGACAAAUUGUUCACCGCGAAAGCUACAGAGAUCCAAGUGAGCACAGUAGGCUCUGGGAUUAUCAUGAAAUCACGAAUAUAUUGAAGAAUCUAAAGGGCACAAAAAUGAUUGAGGGCAUCACCAUUGACUUUGAAAAGAAGGAUGAUCUAGCUUCUCAGAAAGUACUACAGGUCAACUUGCAGAAAAGGUAUAGAUCGGCAUCUGCAAUUGCACACUUGAAGCAAUCAUAUAACAGGCAUUUUGGCCAUGCUGCUGGGGAAGAAGAUGGAAUACUCAACACCAGAGCUUUUAAAGCUAUGACCAAUCUAAGACUUCUUCGGAUCAAUUAUGCUGAAUUGCUUGGUGAUUUCAAGUUUUUUCCUGCUGAAAUGAAGUGGCUGCAGUGGAAAGGUUGCCCUUUAAAAUGUAUUCCUUCUGAGUUUUGGCAUCGUGGUAUUGCUGUUCUUGAUCUGUCUGAUAGUGAUAUUACACAUGUAUGGAACAAUAAGCGAUUGGAUAGCUUCCGGUAUAAGAUGGCCGAGAAGCUACAUGUUUUGAACCUCAGUAAUUGUUACUUUCUUGAGGAACUCCCUGACUUAACUGGCAUUCCCUUGGAGAAACUGAAUCUUGAGAAUUGCAAAAAACUGGUUAAGAUUCAUCCCUCAAUUGGAAACUUGAGCACAUUGGUCUACCUGAACCUUCAUGGCUGCGAGAAUCUUAUGUUGUUUCCAAAUGAUGUCUCUGGCUUGAAACAUCUUGAAAAACUUAUCUUCUCUGAUUGUUCCAGUCUAAGUGAAUUACCGGAGGACUUGAGUGGGCUGAAAUCCUUGAAAGAGUUACUUGUAAAUGGGACAUUGAUAGUGACACUUCCCAAGUCUGUUUUUCGCUUAAAAAUGUUGGAAAUUUUCAACUUAGAUAACUGCAGCCGAUUGAGGGUGCUGCCUGAAUCCAUAGGGAGCCUGAAUUCUCUUAGACAGCUUUCCUUAAACAGAUCAGCUUUACGGGAAAUGCCUGAAUCUGUCAGAAUGCUGACAAACCUAGAGACACUAAGUUUGAGAUAUUGCGGAUCAUUGUCUUCCAUUCCCAACACUGUUGGCGAUCUGAAAUCUUUACUUGAACUGUACCUUGAUGGAACCUCAAUCAAUGGAUUGCCAGAAUCUGUAGGCUCCUUAAAUCAUUUGAAGCACCUUAGGGUCAGCUGUUGUAAGAAUCUGACCGAAUUGCCAAAUUCUAUAGGCAGAUUAUCAUCUCUAAUUUGGCUCUGUAUUAAUGAAACUUCAAUCUGUGAAGUACCUGAUGAAUUGGGAUCUUUGAAGAACCUUGAAAAGCUAGAGAUGAGGAAUUGUACUUCUAUCAAAUCAUUACCAGACUCAAUAGGGAAUCUUUUGAGUCUAACCAGUUUGGCCCUGGAUUACACCUCCAUAGAGGAGUUGCCAGAAUCUAUAGGCUCUUUGGAAAGGCUUUGGGCACUAAAUCUGAAUAACUGUUCAAACCUCCAGAGGUUGCCAUCUUCAAUUGGGAAUCUGAAAAAUUUGUGUUACUUCUAUAUGGUAAACACUGCAGUCACUGAAUUGCCCAAUGAAAUUGGGAUGCUUUCAAGCUUAAAAAUUUUGAAAAUGCAGAAGAAUCCUCAGCCCUCUCAGGCCAAUGACAAGAGAGAGAUCACUCUUCCAGAAUCAUUUUCAAAUCUCUCAUCAUUGGAAGAUCUGGAUGCUAGUGCAUGGAAAAUUUCUGGUAAAAUUUUUGAUCACUUUGAGAAAAUGUCCUCAUUGGAUACUCUUAACCUUGGCCACAACAAUUUUUGGAGCCUCUCUUGUAGCAUGAAGGGGCUCACUGUUCUCAAGAAAUUGAUUUUACCUGAUUGCAAAGAGCUCAAGUCUCUCCCGCCACUCCCUUCAAGUUUGACAGACUUGAAUGUUGCAAACUGUUCUUCACUGGAACAGAUAUCUGAUCUAUCAAAUCUGGGGAGUUUGCGAGAACUUCGACUUUCUAAUUGCAAAAAGAUAACAGAUAUUCCUGGUCUAGAAAGCUUGAAAUCAUUGAGAUGGUUGUACACAGUUGGUUGCAAUGCAUGUUUACCAUCCCUGAAACGAAGAAUUUCUAAGGACACACUAAGACAUAUGCGCUAUUUAGGCGUUCCGGGGAGUGAGAUUCCAGAAUGGCUUGUUCAAGAACUGCCUAGUUUUUCCCCACGAAAAAACCGAAACCUCAAGGGGGUGCUCAUUGGUGUUGUUGUCUCCCUCGACCAAGAAGUACAGGAUAGCUUCAGAGAUAAAGUCUCCGUGAUUAUGGACGUCCAAGCAAAGAUAAUCAGACAGGGCCAAGCCAUCCUCACUACCACUCUGAACUUAUCGGGGGUUCCUGACACCAAUGACGACCAGCUCUACUUGUGUAGAUUUCAUGAAACUAACAACGUUGUGUUCAUGUUGCAAGAGGGGGACAAGUUGCAGGUGGCAAUGCGAGAGCCGCCACGUUUCAGAGGGCUGGAACUGAAGAAGUAUGGGAUGUGCUUGGUUUAUGAGUACGAGGAUGAUCUUGAUGAGAGGGAUGAAGAAUUGUUUGAUGAAUCUCACCAAUCUGUGUCAAAGAAACUGGCAAACUUCUUAAAUGCUCUGUGACCAUUUUGCUGCUGGCUUGCUUUAGGAUACUUCAUCUGGGCAAAUGUUCAUCAUUGUUGUAACUUGUAAGUCAGGUGCUAUUCAUUCAUAUCGGAAGAUUAGUUCAUUGGAACAUACUUGGUAAGCACCUUGGGAAGUUGGGCUAACCAAAAUUUAUUUCUAUGAAUAAUAUUAUUUCUUCCUUCAUAAUGUUGCAAAAAUUCAUCUUUGAGUUCCAAUUUUCUCUAAUAGGAAUUGGACAUUCUUAGAUAUUAUGGAGGUUGUUCUAGAACUUAUGUUAUUAGCAUACUCUAACUUUUUAGCUGGACCAUUUUCCCAAAAAUUCUUCAGGAAAAAUUCAUAUUUUCGCUAAUAUCAUUAUACAACCAGUAUU
Molecule: RNA transcript, 4541 nt
Organism: Ipomoea triloba (trilobed morning glory)
Lineage: Eukaryota; Viridiplantae; Streptophyta; Magnoliopsida; Solanales; Convolvulaceae
Gene name: disease resistance protein TAO1-like
Exons: 6
Source: RefSeq, a predicted model, not a curated record